RNAcentral lists this ribosomal RNA (503 nucleotides) under Nannophya pygmaea. Its description in RNAcentral is "partial 16S ribosomal RNA". It matches the Rfam family "Bacterial large subunit ribosomal RNA", at positions 1819 to 2597 of the family's 2925-position model. Lineage: Eukaryota; Metazoa; Arthropoda; Insecta; Odonata; Libellulidae. The record is from RNAcentral.
GUCCUUUUGAAUUUAAUUUAAGGUCUGGCCUGCCCAGUGAUUAAUUUAACGGCCGCGGUAUAUUGACCGUGCAAAGGUAGCAUAAUCAUUAGUCUUUUAAUAGAGGGCUGGAAUGAAAGGUUUAACGAGGAACUGACUGUCUCAUUUUAUUUGUAUUAAAAUUUAAUUUUUUAGUUAAAAAGCUAAAAUUUAAUUGGAAGACGAGAAGACCCUAUAGAUCUUUAUAUGGUUUAUUAAAUUUGUAACAUAUUAAUACAUUUUAUGAAAGCUGUAUUUUGUUGGGGUGACAAAAAUAUAAAACUAACUUUUUUAUUAAUUAACCAUUAAUUUAUGAAAAUUAGAUCCACUUUUAGUGAUUAUUAGACUAAGUUACCUUAGGGAUAACAGCGUAAUCCCCUUCCAGAGUUCAUAUUUACAAGGGGGCUUGCGACCUCGAUGUUGGAUUAAGAUAAUAAUUAGGUGCAGCCGCUUAAUAUAUAGGUCUGUUCGACCUUUAAAUUCUU